CCCCCUCCCUCCCGGUCCCCCGCGGAGCCCGACGCCGCGCGCACCCCGCCCGCGGCGGCCUAGGGAGAGCUCGCGGGUGGCUCUCCGGGGCGCUGGUGCCCUCGCGGCCUGCCCGGGAGGAGGAGGAAGAGGAGGGGGAGGGAGGGGAUGCGAAAGUGGGUCAGGAAUGUAACUGGACGCUGCGCACCCGCACGCACCUCCUCCCCCGCCCCCAUACCGGCAGCGGCGGCCCGCGCAAGCCUUGGAAAGCGAGUCUUUUGCCGUUGUGGUUCCCCAGCCUUAUCGGUGGACGGUUACCAGGGGAUCCCGAGGGAUGUGUUUCCCUGUGACCCUUUGGGAAGAAAAACUUAGUUGCCUCAGUAACCGAGCUUGGCUUGGAUGGGAGGAUGCAGUGAAUGUUCUAGGUGAGCCUGAGGGUGAAGAGGCGGCAGUUGCACUAGGGAGCGGAUUAACUUUUCUUGUUACUGAACCAAGACGUGAAAGAAAAGCUGGAGAGGAGAUAGAGGAUCUUCAGUUCAACUGGCAAAAGUCUUUAUUUUCGCUUAUGGUGUUUUCCUGAACUGUACAACAGCUGAAGCUGGAAACGGACCAAUUCCAUACCCUGGAUAGUCUUGCAUUUGAAUGAAAAUGGCAGAGUUAUGCAGAACUUUUCUGGAAACUUGAAAAAAAAUGAAGACGUUCAUGAUCUUAGAUUUGGUCACCCUGUUAGGGAGCGUGAUUUCCUUCUGUGUGAGAUAAUGAGACUGUCAAAUCUUGGUUCAAACCAGCAUUGUUGUUAUAGAAAUGAAUUGAAAAUUUAAGUAGAAAAUGAAGUGGCAGACUUCCUUUUUCCCCCCAUCCCUUCUCCCCACGCCUCAAUUUCUUCUACAUUCAUGAAACAUUUCUAUGUAGGGUGAUCUUCAUUUUAGUUAUAAAUCAGAUCUAUAAAGCAAGUUAAAUUAAGGAAUAAAUAUCUGUUAAGAAAG
Lagenorhynchus albirostris (white-beaked dolphin) is the source of this 965-nucleotide long non-coding RNA. RefSeq lists it as uncharacterized. The record is from RefSeq and is a predicted model, not a curated record. The transcript is spliced from 2 exons. NCBI's taxonomy places the organism in Eukaryota, Metazoa, Chordata, Mammalia, Artiodactyla, Delphinidae.